UAUUGGAAUCUCUAGUUCUAAUGUGAGAAACUGGAAAAUUUCAAGCUUUACAGGUAAUUUUGCAAGGCGUUGCAUCUUUUGAGGGUCACUGGAAGAACAUGCCGUUAGACUUCCUCGCUAAGAGCUGCAGUUGGAAAUGAAUCUGUUAGACGUCUGGCUCUAUUUUGUUUGGUUGACUUUGUGUGAACGUAUUAAUACCUGUAUUCUCUUCUUUAAAUCUUGUGCUGUUUUUGUCCUUUUCUGACUCAAUGUCUACAGACACUUAUUGAGUGCUACACAAAACUCAAAGAACAAGGUGGGACGGUCAACCUCAUGCUCACCGACACCUGGCUCAGGCAUUACCAGGUGUUGCCUGACCGGACACAUCCUCUGCUCCUGAUGAGCGGGGGCGGGGGCUACCUCCUCUCAGGGACCACUGUUGCCACGGACCCAUCCAAACCGGCAGGCUCCCCGCAGGCCGAGGAACCGGCUCCAAAGAGACAAAAAGUGAAAGACUGAGGGAUAAACACACGACGAAGGGUCAGAUCUGUCAGAGGCACGUUGGUGUGACCUGCAAGGAUUUAUUUUCUUCACUCUGUUGAACUGAAGUGACACUAUUGCAGAAAUGAAGACGGGGUGUCUGGUUUGCAUCCAUCAGAGCACCUUCUUCUGUAUUUGUCCUCACAUCAGCUGAGGAGUAAAGUGUAAUCCCAAAACAGGUCAUCUCAGCUCAGUGUGUUCCUUAUGUAAGAGACGGAGGGGAUUUAUUUCUUUAAGAGACAAGUUUGCGUUACAUCCCCUGGCGGCAAUUGUUAAACAUGUUUUUAUUUUAGAGAGUUGUUAUAGAACUCAGUUCCGAAUAAAGAUUUAUUGUAUCUACAUCAGGGUUUGUGCAGGAAAACCAAAUCUCUAAGAAAUGAUGUAUUGUGACCUCUUUUAAUUGUAGAAAUAAAUUCAACUUUCAUUUGG
Molecule: long non-coding RNA, 948 nt
Organism: Fundulus heteroclitus (mummichog)
Lineage: Eukaryota; Metazoa; Chordata; Actinopteri; Cyprinodontiformes; Fundulidae
Exons: 2
Source: RefSeq, a predicted model, not a curated record